CCCGCAACGAGCGCAACCCUUAUCUUUAGUUGCUAGCGGUUCGGCCGAGCACUCUAAAGAGACUGCCGUUGACAAAACGGAGGAAGGUGGGGAUGACGUCAAGUCCUCAUGGCCUUUAUGUCCAGGGCUACACACGUGCUACAAUGGCAAGUACAAAGCGCUGCAAACUCGCGAGAGGGAGCCAAUCGCAAAAAGCUUGUCUCAGUUCGGAUUGGAGCCCUAGUUCAGCGACUCCAUGAAGCUGGAAUCGCUAGUAAUCGCAGAUCAGCACGCUGCGGUGAAUACGUUCCCGGGUAAGAUCUCACCGCCCGUCACAUCACGAAAGUGGGUUGUACUGGACGCUUCAACGCCAACCGCAAGGAGGCAGACGCUCACGGUAU
RNAcentral lists this ribosomal RNA (380 nucleotides) under uncultured Acidobacteriota bacterium. RNAcentral describes it as "bacterial SSU rRNA". It matches the Rfam family "Bacterial small subunit ribosomal RNA", at positions 1086 to 1465 of the family's 1533-position model. The record is from RNAcentral. Lineage: Bacteria; Pseudomonadati; Acidobacteriota.